RNAcentral lists this ribosomal RNA (110 nucleotides) under Clostridium sporogenes. RNAcentral describes it as "partial 16S ribosomal RNA". It matches the Rfam family "Bacterial small subunit ribosomal RNA", at positions 1 to 106 of the family's 1533-position model. RNAcentral also lists the same sequence under 1 other name. The record is from RNAcentral. Lineage: Bacteria; Bacillati; Bacillota; Clostridia; Eubacteriales; Clostridiaceae.
UUUAAAAUUGAGAGUUUGAUCCUGGCUCAGGACGAACGCUGGCGGCGUGCUUAACACAUGCAAGUCGAGCGAUGAAGCUUCCUUCGGGAAGUGGAUUAGCGGCGGACGGG